This 345-nucleotide ribosomal RNA is filed under the name uncultured bacterium. RNAcentral describes it as "bacterial SSU rRNA". It matches the Rfam family "Bacterial small subunit ribosomal RNA", at positions 8 to 350 of the family's 1533-position model. The record is from RNAcentral.
AGAGUUUGAUCAUGGCUCAGGAUUAACGCUGGCGGCGUGCCUAAUACAUGCAAGUCGAGCGAGGAAAGUAGCAAUACUUUUCGAGCGGCGAACGGGUGAGUAACACGUUGGGAAUCUACCCCUGAGACCGGAAUACCUGGAAGAAAUUUCAGCUAAUGCCGGAUACGUGGUCAACACAGAAGUGAUGAUCAUAAAAGGCGGCCUUAAAGCCGCGCUGAGGGAUGAACCUGCGGCGCAUUAGCUAGUUGGUGAGNUAAAAGCCACCAAGGCGAGGAUGCGUAGCCGACCUGAGAGGGUGAACGGCCACACUGGAACUGAGACACGGUCCAGACUCCUACGGAGGCA